RNAcentral lists this ribosomal RNA (769 nucleotides) under uncultured Achromobacter sp. Its description in RNAcentral is "bacterial SSU rRNA". It matches the Rfam family "Bacterial small subunit ribosomal RNA", at positions 1 to 771 of the family's 1533-position model. Lineage: Bacteria; Pseudomonadati; Pseudomonadota; Betaproteobacteria; Burkholderiales; Alcaligenaceae. The record is from RNAcentral.
UAGAGUUUGAUCCUGGCUCAGAUUGAACGCUAGCGGGAUGCCUUACACAUGCAAGUCGAACGGCAGCACGGACUUCGGUCUGGUGGCGAGUGGCGAACGGGUGAGUAAUGUAUCGGAACGUGCCCAGUAGCGGGGGAUAACUACGCGAAAGCGUAGCUAAUACCGCAUACGCCCUACGGGGGAAAGCAGGGGAUCGCAAGACCUUGCACUAUUGGAGCGGCCGAUAUCGGAUUAGCUAGUUGGUGGGGUAACGGCUCACCAAGGCGACGAUCCGUAGCUGGUUUGAGAGGACGACCAGCCACACUGGGACUGAGACACGGCCCAGACUCCUACGGGAGGCAGCAGUGGGGAAUUUUGGACAAUGGGGGAAACCCUGAUCCAGCCAUCCCGCGUGUGCGAUGAAGGCCUUCGGGUUGUAAAGCACUUUUGGCAGGAAAGAAACGUCGUGGGUUAAUACCCCGCGAAACUGACGGUACCUGCAGAAUAAGCACCGGCUAACUACGUGCCAGCAGCCGCGGUAAUACGUAGGGUGCAAGCGUUAAUCGGAAUUACUGGGCGUAAAGCGUGCGCAGGCGGUUCGGAAAGAAAGAUGUGAAAUCCCAGAGCUUAACUUUGGAACUGCAUUUUUAACUACCGGGCUAGAGUGUGUCAGAGGGAGGUGGAAUUCCGCGUGUAGCAGUGAAAUGCGUAGAUAUGCGGAGGAACACCGAUGGCGAAGGCAGCCUCCUGGGAUAACACUGACGCUCAUGCACGAAAGCGUGGGGAGCAA